CUUUGCAUUGGAGGCUCAUUAGGUAACUUCCACCAUCAAUGUUAGUUGGAGAGAUUGAGUUCUGCCAGCUCUGCAAUCCUAACUGAGACUGAAACUCAAUUGAUCUACUUCUGUUGCUGAUGAAAAUGAACGAUUCUGAUUCCAAGUCAAUCCCAGUGGCAAGUAGAAACAUGGAUUUAGUGUUUGCAAUGUGGCAAUUUUUUUUUUUUUUAACCUGUUCUUUGCCUGCAGAAGACAGCCUCGCUAGCCUGGCUGGUGGUCCCACGGUGGGGCUUCCUCCUAUCGUUGGUAGGAAAGGUCCAGGUCAUCAGAGCAGCAUGGCCUGUUUUAAAGCAAACAGCAAAGACUCCAAAGAUAUCCCCGCAGGCGUCGUUAGGGGCGGUUUACCAGAGGAGCUGAGAGCAGAAUUAUAUAAUGAAUGGCAGCCAAAAAAAAACAGGUUUCAAGUCUGAUGCUGGCAGUUCUGAUUCAGAAUUACCUCAAAGCGAGCACAGAGAAGAGGCGCAUUACCUAACAGUGAGGCUGAAGAAUACCAAUGCCACCUCCAGGGCACACCCAUCACAGCGGGGGAUUCCGCCCAUGUUUGAGGUCGAGGUGCGGAAUCAGGCGAGGGCCUGGCUUCUCUCCGACAGCCUGGGGCCUCCAGUACCUGCCCACUCCACAGCUGUUCCCCAUCCACAGGCAGAGGGAGGGUAGGGCCUGGCACCCUUAGACAGCUGGGGACAUCUGGAGUCCAGCACCACAGCUGGAUCUCCUCCACA
Long non-coding RNA from Acipenser ruthenus (sterlet), 761 nucleotides. RefSeq lists it as uncharacterized. NCBI's taxonomy places the organism in Eukaryota, Metazoa, Chordata, Actinopteri, Acipenseriformes, Acipenseridae. The transcript has 3 exons. The record is from RefSeq and is a predicted model, not a curated record.